GUUGCUGUGCUAACGACCGUUGGAACCCUCUUUCCUGCUCUUGGAACGCUCGGCUCUGAGAGGCUCCAGGUUUCUCCGCCAGAGCUCCUGUCGCUCUGUCACUUGCGCUGUGUUCCUCUCUAGUCACAAGAGCCUUGGGGAAGACAGUUGGAAGCUCAGACAUGGAUUUCGCUUUUGUUGCCCAGGCUGGAGUACAGUGGCUCGAUCUCGGCCCACUGCCACCUCUGCUUCCUGGGUUGAAGCAAUUCUUCUGCCUCAGCCUCCUGAGUAGCUGUGGUUACAGUUGGAGUCUUGCUCUGUUGCCCAGGCUGGAGUGCGGUGGCGCGAUCUCAGCUCACUGCAAGCUCCGCCUCCCGGGUUCACGCCAUUCUCCUGCCUCAGCCUCCCAAGUAGCUGGGACUACAGGCGCCCGCCACCACGGCUGGCUAAUUUUUGUAUUUUUAGUAGAGACAGGGUUUCACCAUGUUAGCCAGGAUGGUCUCGAUCUCUUGACCUCGUGAUCUGCCCGCCUCGGCCUCCCAAAGUGCUGGGAUGACAGGCGUGAGCCACCAUGUCCACC
This 559-nucleotide small RNA is filed under the name Pan troglodytes (chimpanzee). Its description in RNAcentral is "processed transcript". Lineage: Eukaryota; Metazoa; Chordata; Mammalia; Primates; Hominidae. The record is from RNAcentral.